Molecule: ribosomal RNA, 319 nt
Filed under: uncultured eukaryote
Lineage: Eukaryota
Description: partial 18S ribosomal RNA
Rfam family: Eukaryotic small subunit ribosomal RNA
Source: RNAcentral
CCCUUAGAUGUCCUGGGCCGCACGCGUGCUACACUGACGCCUACAGCGAGUACUUCCCAGCCCCGAGAGGUGGCUGGUAAUCAGCAAUAGGCGUCGUGAUGGGGAUAGAUCUUUGGAAUUAUGGAUCUUGAACGAGGAAUGCCUAGUAAGCGCAGGUCAUUAGCCUGCGUUGAUUAAGUCCCUGCCCUUUGUACACACCGCCCGUCGCUCCUACCGAUUUCGAGUGGUCCGGUGAAUCUUUCGGACUGCGCGCGGCUUCGUGCCGUGUCGCGGAAAGUCAGGUAAACCUUNUNACUUAGNGGAAGGAGAANUCGUANCA